GAUGAAGAACGUAGCGAAAUGCGAUAAGUAGUGUGAAUUGCAGAAUUCAGUGAAUCAUCGAAUCUUUGAACGCACAUUGCGCCCUCUGGUAUUCCGGGGGGCAUGCCUGUUCGAGCGUCAUUACAACCCUCAAGCUUUGCUUGGUAUUGGACAUUGCCAGUUUCUGGCAGGUCUUAAAAUCAGUGGCGGUGCCAUUUGGCUUCAAGCGUAGUAAUUCUUCUCGCUUUGGAGAUCCAAGUGGUUACUUGCCAAUAACCCCCAAUUUUUUCAGGUUGACCUCGGAUCAGGUAGGGAUACCCGCUGAACUUAAGCAUAUCAAUAAGCGGAGGA
This 330-nucleotide unclassified non-coding RNA is filed under the name soil metagenome. RNAcentral's name for it is "partial contains 5.8S ribosomal RNA, internal transcribed spacer 2, and large subunit ribosomal RNA". The stretch from base 1 to 120 matches the Rfam family "5.8S ribosomal RNA", at positions 35 to 154 of the family's 154-position model. The record is from RNAcentral.